GAUGAACGCUGGCGGCGUGCCUAAUACAUGCAAGUCGAGCGAACGGACGAGAAGCUUGCUUCUCUGAUGUUAGCGGCGGACGGGUGGGUAACACGUGGAUAACCUACCUAUAAGACUGGGAUAACUUCGGGAAACCGGAGCUAAUACCGGAUAAUAUUUUGAACCGCAUGGUUCAAAAGUGAAAGACGGUCUUGCUGUCACUUAUAGAUGGAUCCGCGCUGCAUUAGCUAGUUGGUAAGGUAACGGCUUACCAAGGCAACGAUGCAUAGCCGACCUGAGAGGGUGAUCGGCCACACUGGAACUGAGACACGGUCCAGACUCCUACGGGAGGCAGCAGUAGGGAAUCUUCCGCAAUGGGCGAAAGCCUGACGGAGCAACGCCGCGUGAGUGAUGAAGGUCUUCGGAUCGUAAAACUCUGUUAUUAGGGAAGAACAUAUGUGUAAGUAACUGUGCACAUCUUGACGGUACCUAAUCAGAAAGCCACGGCUAACUACGUGCCAGCAGCCGCGGUAAUACGUAGGUGGCAAGCGUUAUCCGGAAUUAUUGGGCGUAAAGCGCGCGUAGGCGGUUUUUUAAGUCUGAUGUGAAAGCCCACGGCUCAACCGUGGAGGGUCAUUGGAAACUGGAAGACUUGAGUGCAGAAGAGGAAAGUGGAAUUCCAUGUGUAGCGGUGAAAUGCGCAGAGAUAUGGAGGAACACCAGUGGCGAAGGCGACUUUCUGGUCUGUAACUGACGCUGAUGUGCGAAAGCGUGGGGAUCAAACAGGAUUAGAUACCCUGGUAGUCCACGCCGUAAACGAUGAGUGCUAAGUGUUAGGGGGUUUCCGCCCCUUAGUGCUGCAGCUAACGCAUUAAGCACUCCGCCUGGGGAGUACGACCGCAAGGUUGAAACUCAAAGGAAUUGACGGGGACCCGCACAAGCGGUGGAGCAUGUGGUUUAAUUCGAAGCAACGCGAAGAACCUUACCAAAUCUUGACAUCCUUUGACAACUCUAGAGAUAGAGCUUUCCCCUUCGGGGGACAAAGUGACAGGUGGUGCAUGGUUGUCGUCAGCUCGUGUCGUGAGAUGUUGGGUUAAGUCCCGCAACGAGCGCAACCCUUAAGCUUAGUUGCCAUCAUUAAGUUGGGCACUCUAAGUUGACUGCCGGUGACAAACCGGAGGAAGGUGGGGAUGACGUCAAAUCAUCAUGCCCCUUAUGAUUUGGGCUACACACGUGCUACAAUGGACAAUACAAAGGGCAGCGAAACCGCGAGGUCAAGCAAAUCCCAUAAAGUUGUUCUCAGUUCGGAUUGUAGUCUGCAACUCGACUACAUGAAGCUGGAAUCGCUAGUAAUCGUAGAUCAGCAUGCUACGGUGAAUACGUUCCCGGGUCU
Molecule: ribosomal RNA, 1372 nt
Filed under: uncultured bacterium
Lineage: Bacteria
Description: bacterial SSU rRNA
Rfam family: Bacterial small subunit ribosomal RNA
Source: RNAcentral